CAUUCCCUCUGGCGGUAGGCCUAACACAUGCAAGUCGAACGGCAGCACAGUAAGAGCUUGCUCUUACGGGUGGCGAGUGGCGGACGGGUGGGGAAUAAAUCGGAAUCUACUUCUUCGUGGGGGAUAACGUCGGGAAACUUACGCUAAUACCGCAUAUGACCUAUGUGUGAAAGCAGGGGUUCUUCGAACCUUGCGCGAUUGAAUGAGACGAUGUCGGAUUAGCUAGUUGUCGGGGUAAAGGUAUACCAAGGCGACGAUGCGGAGCUGAUCUGAGAGGAUGGUCGACCGCACUGGUACGGAGGCGCGGUCCAGACGCCUACGGGGGGAGGCAGUGGGGAAUAUUAGACAAUGGUGGCAAGCCGGAUCCAGCCGUGCCGCGGGGGUGAAGAUGGACUUCUGGUGGUUGAGCCCUUUUGUUGGGAGAGAAAAGCAGCAGGUUAAUACCCCGCUGUUCUGACGGUAGCCAAAGAAGAAGCACCGGCUAACUUCGUG
This 492-nucleotide ribosomal RNA is filed under the name uncultured bacterium. RNAcentral's name for it is "partial 16S ribosomal RNA". It matches the Rfam family "Bacterial small subunit ribosomal RNA", at positions 36 to 507 of the family's 1533-position model. The record is from RNAcentral.